UUGUAGCCCCGAUUGCAGCUUUGUCUGAGCUCAUUUUGGGAUUCGGCGGCGGCUUUUGCCGCCGCCGAAUCCCAAAAUAGCGAGUGCGGAAAGCGGGAAAAAGC
This 104-nucleotide unclassified non-coding RNA is filed under the name Chryseobacterium gambrini. RNAcentral's name for it is "Flavo-1 RNA". The record is from RNAcentral. Lineage: Bacteria; Pseudomonadati; Bacteroidota; Flavobacteriia; Flavobacteriales; Weeksellaceae.